Molecule: RNA transcript, 8878 nt
Organism: Mauremys mutica (yellowpond turtle)
Lineage: Eukaryota; Metazoa; Chordata; Testudines; Geoemydidae
Gene: MDGA1
Gene name: MAM domain containing glycosylphosphatidylinositol anchor 1
Exons: 18
Source: RefSeq, a predicted model, not a curated record
CCCCCUCCCAUCCCCCCCCGCCCCCGCCAGGUGACAGGAGCGGGGCAGAGCGGAGGGAGAAGCAGCUGGAGUUUGUCUGGAUUCUGCUCCCCGCUGGAUCCGCGUCUCCUGGGCUCCGGGUUCAUUGUGUGUGUGAGUGUGAGGUUGUGUUGCUCUUCCUGGAGCUCCUAAGGAGCCUGGGAGGGAAGAGGGGCCCUGGUUUGGUUUUUCCACCUUCCCUCUCUCUUCUCCCCCUCCCGCCCCCCGUUUAUUUUUAACUGUUGCUCCUAUUUCGGGGUAUCUUUUUCUUUCGUCUAAGUUGACUGUGCAGAGAUCGGCGACUUCCAGGCGGCGCUGGCUGACUUCGCUGGCCGGGCUGAGGCGCUCUGCGCCCGGGCAAGCCUCUCCUGGAUCCCUCCCUGCUCAGAGGCGGUGGAAGUGCUGGGGAUGAAGUAGCUUUCGCCUGUUUCUCGUUCCCUCCCCCCCCCCCCCCGCCGGAUGCUGCCUGGCCUUUUGGGCUGCUUUUCUUCGCCGGCGAUGAGGGCUCUGCCUUGAAGAUGGAGAUUAUUUGUUUUUUCUUGCUGGCGGUGGUGCCGGUGUACAUCCAGGGAGACGGGGUUUAUGCUCCAGCUCAGGCCCAGAUCAUCCAUGCGGGGCAGGCCUGUGUUGUGAAGGAAGAUAACAUCAGUGAACGAGUGUACACUAUCCGGGAGGGCAACAUUCUGGUGCUGCAGUGUCUGGUCACGGGACACCCACGGCCGCAGGUGAGGUGGACCAAAACUGCUGGCAGUGCCUCGGACAAAUUCCAGGAGACAUCGGUGUUUAACGAGACCCUUCGGAUUGAGAAGAUCCAGAGGCUGCAGGGAGGCCGCUAUUACUGUAAAGCAGAGAAUGGGGUUGGGGUCCCUGCCAUCAAGUCCAUUCGAGUAGAUGUGCAGUAUCUAGACGAGCCCAUUCUCACCGUCCACCAAACCAUCAGCGAUGUACGUGGCAGCUUCUACCAGGAGAAGACGGUCUUCCUCCGGUGCACAGUCAACUCUAACCCUCCCGCUCGCUUCAUCUGGAAACGGGGUGCUGAGACACUCUCCCACAGCCAGGAUAAUGGAGUGGAUAUCUAUGAGCCACUCUACACACAGGGUGAAACCAAAGUUCUAAAGCUGAAAAACCUGAGGCCACAAGAUUAUGCCAGUUAUACGUGUCAGGUAUCCGUCCGGAAUGUCUGCGGCAUCCUUGACAAGACUAUCACUUUCCAGCUCACUAACACAACAGCCCCACCCGCUCUGAAGCUGUCUGUCAAUGAGACCCUGGUGGUGAACCCGGGAGAUAAUGUCACUAUGCAGUGCUCCCUGAUAGGCGGUGACCCACUGCCUGAGGUGGUCUGGUCUCACUCACCCAGCCCUAUGCCUCACAAUAGCCUUAUUCAAGAGGGUAACCUCACCAUAUGGGGGAUCCGCAUGGAAGAUUCAGGCUACUACAAUUGCACGGCCAUCAACAAUGUGGGGAACCCAGCUAAGAAGACAGUGAAUCUGCUGGUGCGAUCCAUGAAGAACGUCACCUUCCAGAUCACCCCUGACGUGAUCAAAGAGAGUGAGAGCAUCCAACUAGGGCAGGACCUGAAGCUCUCGUGCCAUGUGGAUGCCGUCCCCCAGGAGAAGGUCGUCUACUUCUGGUACAAGAAUGGGAAACCAGCCAGGGUCUCAGACCGACUGCUCAUUUCCAGGAACGACCCUGAGCUCCCACCAGUGACCAGCAGCCUGGAGAUCAUUGACCUGCGCUUCAGUGAUUAUGGCACAUAUCUGUGCAUUGCGUCCUUCCAGGGGGCCCCCAUCCCUGACCUCAGUGUUGAGGUGAACAUCUCUUCAGAAACAGUGCCUCCAACCAUCAGUGUCCCCAAGGGCCAGUCCACCAUCACCGUUCGGGAGGGCUCCAGGGCCGAGCUGCAGUGCGAGGUUCGAGGGAAGCCCAAGCCGCCCAUCAUCUGGUCCCGGGUAGACAAGGAGGCCCCCAUGCCCUCAGGUGCCAUGACAGUGGAGACUUACGAUGGGAAGCUGCGCCUGGAGAGCGUUAGCCGAGAAAUGAGUGGGACCUAUAAGUGUCAGACAGCCAGGUACAAUGGCUUUAACAUCAGACCCCGGGAAGCUCUGGUACAGCUCAACGUACAGUUCCCCCCAGUGGUAGAACCAACUUCUCAGGACGUCCGCCAGGGCAUGGGCCGCAGCGUCACCCUGCGAUGCACCAUGCUGAAGGGGAGCCCCAUGAAGGUAGCCACAGCCGUCUGGCGCUUCAAUGGGAACCUCUUGACCCUACCCCCCACAGAGCAGCAGGACUACUCAGAGCUGAAGGUGGACAGCGUGAACCGGGAGACCAGUGGUAGCUACGAGUGCAGCAUCUCCAACGAUGUGGGGGUCUCCACCUGCUUCUUCCAGGUGUCUGCCAAAGCUUACAACCCAGAGUUUUACUACGACACUCCCAACCCCACACUCAGCCAGAAGCAAUCCAAGAACUACUCUUAUGUCUUGCAGUGGACACAGAAGGAACCCGACGCAGUGGAUCCCAUUCUCAAGUACCGGCUGGAUGUCCGGCAGCUGAAUCAGAGGAACACUGUCCAAACGUUAAUUCCUGUGAAGAAGAUGGAGAAAGGCCUGCUGCUGGAGCACAUCCUGCGCAACUUGAAGGUUCCUCAGAGCUAUGAGGUUCGCCUGACGCCCAUCACCAACUUUGGGGCUGGUGAUAUGGCUGCCCGCAUCAUCCGGUACAUGGAACCGAUUAACUAUCCCAACCUGGCAGAUAACACCUGCCACUUUGAGGACGAGAAGAUCUGUGGCUUCACGCAAGACAAGAUGGACAACUUUGACUGGACCCGUCAGAAUGCCUUGACUCAGAACCCCAAGCGCACUGUCAACACAGGGCCAUCCACAGAUAUCAGUGGCACAGAAGAAGGUUAUUACAUGUUCAUUGAGGCCUCCCGGCCCCGGGUGCAAGGAGACAAGGCCCGGCUCAUCAGCCCCCUGUACAACAUCACCGGCAAGUACUUCUGCGUCUCCUUCUUCUACCACAUGUACGGGAAGCACAUUGGCUCCUUGAAUCUUCUGGUUCGUGUGCAGAACAAACGAGCCAUCGACACCCAAGUCUGGUCGCUCAGCGAAAACAAAGGAAACGAGUGGAAACAAACACACGUCCCCAUCAGCCCUCCAGGACCCUUUCAGAUCAUCUUUGAAGGCGUCCGCGGCACAAGCUAUGAGGGGGACAUUGCCAUUGACGACGUCACUCUGAAAAGGGGAGACUGCCCGAGGAAGUCGAUUGGCCCAAAUAAAGCAGUCGCCCUUCCAGGGAGCGGCGUCCCAACCCUGCACAGGUCUUCUCUCGGUGGGCCACUGACUUUUUUCCUUUAUGUGCUGCUCAGAUGAUGGCAAGCAAGCAUUCCUGUCUUCUGGCCAAGACAUUCCUGCUCCUUUCCUACUCAGCCACCUCUGCUCCUCUUCCUCCCCCUCCUCACUGGCACACCAAAGUGUCCAUACGUUACCAAAGACUGACAAGCAUGACCACGCAAAGGGAUCUGCUCAGAACCUGGUGGAUUCCUCAAGAAAGUCAUAAUGUCUAAAAAAUAAAAAAAUAAAAACAGAAAAUGAGAGAGAGCGAGAGGAAGGAAGAAAACAAUCACACAAGAAGGAAUGAAGAAAAAUGGGAAUGACAAAAAUGUAAAGAACAAAUGAAGGAGGAAACUCCCCCUCCCCGUGUUUCCUUGGGAACAUCUGACAGGACUUCCUCAGGGAAGUGGGAACUUUGUUUUAAACAAAAAUAUAUAUAUAUAUUAAAGCACAAAUUUCUACCAGAACUGUUACCUUCUUUACUGCAGAGCCCACAGCUUAGGAGACCGUGUAUUGCAGCGCUCCCCUUUUGGCUUUCCGUGUUCCACCUUUAUCCUGCUGGCUCUGGCUACCGUGUACCAGCUGCAGCGCCCCUACAGUAACAUCCCACCUGUCUCCAUUUGGGGCAGCUCACCUCCCGUGUGCUGGUUGGCCAUAGACUCUCGCCCCAUGCUGCAUGUGCUUCAGUGUCUCCAUCCGCAUCUUCCAAACGUCCAUAUAUUCAAUUGUCUAUGUGUGAUUUGCUUUAAUCCACAUCGCACUCCUUCCCCAACUCGCUGUGUCCUCCCGCCCUGCCCAAAGAAGACAACAGCGGAGUGGACCCAUCAUCUGGAUUGUACUGAGUGGUGGAAAAACCCUGGGUCGAUCCAACUGCAGCACUGGCCACCGAACGCUCCCAGGUGCUUCUCUCUCUGCAUCUCUCACUUCCCACCACUGGGUGCACAAACUCUGAUGAUGGAGCUGAGGUUGCAAACAAAAGCCUCUCGGUGGGAUGGAGCUGGCAGGGUGGUGACAUGCGGACAGCACUUGUCAGUCAGUGCACAUUGGAGUGGGAGCUGCAGCAGCCUUGAGGCCAGGAUCUCCUCUCAGAUUUUUUUGGUUAACUAACUUACUUCUUUCUUCAUUCCACUGUUAGCCUUCCCUGCCCCAAGCUCCUAUUUCCUUUCAGACUGUGGGGAGAGGCAUAGAUUUGCACCCUUUACAUUUCCCCACCCCAAACCACAGGCCUCUCCUAGUCUCCAACCCUUGUGCCCUCUGAAUGGAUCUGAAAUUGCAGCUGCUGCCUUGAGCUCCAAGGACUUUUGUUUCCCAGGAUGUAUUAGCCACAAGGGAGGUGCAGGGGGGCAGCUGGGUUCCCUUCACCAGAGUAACAAUCAGAGGAGCCAGGGGAUGGAAUGGGCCCUGAAGCUCCUGGGUGACUGGGCAAAGCAGGUGGCUGGAUCCCAAAGAGGGGAUCAUUCUGGUUUUCACUUCUGUUGGCUGCUGGGGAAGAGGGUGCAGGUAGGGAGAAAGUUGGGAUUUCUUCUUCAUGGAGUUCAUGCUGCCACUGUGAAGGAAUAAAGCCAAUGUCUCAGGAGAGUUGCCUCUUGGCUCUGAACCUGUUCCAGCCAGAUCCAUCCUGCUCCCUACCGCAGCCAUGGCUUGGCCUGGGGGUGAUGUGGUGUGUAGGCAUCUGCUGUACCAGGUGAACCCAGGAGCAAGGUCUCCCUUAGGCUAGCCAAGUAGGAGCCAUGUUGACCUUGUUACAGCUGGAAACAGCUCUGGGCCUAUCUUGCUCUCACCCCUCUCAUCGAAGAAUAAUGUUAGCUGUACCUGUGUGGGGGGGGGGGGAGAUUCAGUGAGGUGACACUCUUUCCUCUGAGGCACACCCAGUCUGCUUGCUACUUCAAGGGCACAGCAGAGGUACACUGACCUGUCUCAGGUGUAGAGUUGCCAGCACACAUGCCCCCACCCCACCCUCUCUGAUGACGUUAUCAUAAAUUUAGGCUUCUCUGGACAAUAGCAUGUAGCUAAAUCAAAUCAGUGUAUCACCUGCCCAAUGCCUUCUGCGAUGCUUGGCUUCCCAAAAUGUCUGAGGCUUGGCUUCCCCUCACACCCGGUGGGGAGGCCUGUGUUCAGUGCUCUACCUUCCUGUCCAAGAGACCCAUCUUCCAGUGCUCGAGCCAACCACUCACUCCCCAGGCCUCUAGGAGAUGGCAUCUUGAGUCAUUCUGCAGUGACCCUCGUGGCCAGAGUAGGAGAUGUGCUGAUGGGCUCCAGAGAGAGUCCCAUCCAGUCAUCCUCAGCCAAAAAAAAGGGUGCUGGGCUGUUGGGCUGAGGCGAUCCUUCACAGAGGACUUCCCAAAAGAUAUUGAAAGGUCUAGCCACGGGGUUCCAAAACUCCAAUUGAUGAUUUUCCUCCUCUCCAGGACUGAAAACUCUGCCCUCUUCAUCUGCUUAGUCCCUCCACCUCCAUCUUCUGAGCCCAGUUCCUAGUCUCAGUGAACAUUUAGUAAGGGAACGUGCUACCUUUGCCAUUGGCCAGGUACUGCAGUGGGGCCCUUGCAGGAUAACCUCUCCUCACUGCCAGCAGACACCAGGAAAUGCAACCAACCAACCCCCAGCAUUUUAGAAAAUCUUCAAUUCUAUGCCCUGGAAUGGGGUCUCUCCAGGAAGCAGCUUUCUUUCCUCCUUGUAUGCUUUCCAAGGGGUCUGAUCUCAAUCCUUGGAGGAGAGCCGGUGCUUUCCACAGGCAGCACAGGGGCCUGGGUGUUUAGUGCUAAUGAUUUGGGUCAGCUGCCAAGUGUGGGGGUGGGGAGGAGGCAGGUCAUGAAUUUGCACCUUUUGAAGUUUUGGGGGAAUGUGGGGUGAGCUCUUGUGAUUACGUUCCCCUGAGGAGGAACAGGAGGCUUGCUGCACAGCUGGCAGGUGGAGGUGGAGGAGAAGGAUCAAUGUCUUGAGCAAGAAUUAUCCCUGAGCAGAGGCAAGGGAGAAUGGACUGAUUCUAAAAAGGAAAACCUGCGACCCCCACGUCCCUGCUCUGCUGCAGCAUCUGGCCCAUUCACCACACACACAGGAAUGUGCCAGAGCCACUGAGCUGAUCCACCACGCUGGGGGUCACAGUCCAGUCCAUGGCAUUGGGGCUGGAGAGCAGCAUAGAUUUCCCCUUAGACAGCAAUUGCCUUAUCCAUUCAUUGGGCUCAAAUGAUCACUGCUUUUUGGCCAGUUUGCCCUUGUAUAAAUCUCAGGGAGCCCCCGUUCAUCCCUCCCUUCCUAGAUUCCCUUCCCCUUUAUCUGUGGCUUGAAAGCAGCUGGUGUUGUGUUUACUGGAGCUUCAUUAACCCAAGUGCCUCAGCUUGUCGGAGCAUUAAGGAUGAAAGGAAGGAAGUCAUUGCACUGUCAGCAGUGCUGAGUGUGCGGAGCAGAGGAAGGUGCCUGUUCAGCAGCAAGGAUGCCUCACUUCAGGGGGAUGGAGACUGCACAUGUGAGUGGGGACGUGCUGUUAUUCCUUAGAGGCUUGGCCACCUUGGACGGGGACCUCACAAACUAAGCUGGGUUGUGUUAUGUGGUGUGAAAUAGAUGGGAGACUCUGAGGAAACUCCAGGUACUGCAGGAAAUAGUAUUUGUGGGUAGGGGUCAGUACUAACCCCAGCCUCUGCACUGUGCUUUCAGAUGAGGUCUAAAACUAUAUUCUGCACCCCACGUCAUUAAAGAUCCCCUGGCACUUUACACUGGUGUUAAACCCAGUGUUCUGGGCCAAUUAUAAUCAUUACAUUUCAUUACAGUGUGCUUCCUUCAGGCUCUGAUACAGUUUCAAUUAGAUACAUUAGCCUUCACUUCCUGACCUUUACUGUUGUUGUGUGACUGUUAAGUAGCUGCUUUGUUCCACUCUAGAGGUGGCUGCAUUUCAGAUUACAACUCGCUAUAGUUUGGCACCCCUGCAGGAGAACAGGUGCUAUAUCUAUGUAAGUGACUGUGUUUAUUCACAGGGAGAUGUUUGGUAGGUAGUUGUAGAGAUGAAGUAGGGCAAUUGCUAUGUGGGUGUGAUCCAAUAUAUAUUCAGCCCUUUUUUUUCAGUACAUGAAACAAAAUGUGCAUACACAGGCAUAGAUUGCAGGUAUCAGAUGUAGUGAGUGAUACUGUAUAGUUAGGCUUGCAAAGGAACUUUUAUUGAAACCUCUCUGCAGUCGCUCAGGGCAUUCUGAAAAAAUAUUUCUUUUUUAUUAUUCCCCACAUUGGAGUAACAGCCCCAGUCACAGGUCACCAACCUAGGAUUUUCAGCUAUGCAAGCAGGCACUCCCACUGCUUGCAGUACCGGUGCAACUUUUUCGGCUGGUGCAGUAGUAGACUUUUAUCCUUUUAUAUGGCUCAGCCACUAGAAGGCAACACAACUGGCAUGUUACAAUUGAUCUUAGGUCUUGAGCAAGUCCGUUGGAAAGUCUGAGGGAAAAUCGUUCCAGCCACUUUGGAAUGAAAGCGAGCAGGAAAAGAAAUAUGUAUUUUUUGCAUUAUUAAAAAAAUUAUUCAAACUUUUUUUUAACACACAACAAGUUAAAAAACACCUGACGUUUAAAAUGUUAUGUUUGACACGUGUGCAAAUCUACCUCUGUAUCGUCUCUCAAUGCACCAGUUAAUUAUCAGCCUUGCAGAAAUGUUACCCCGGGGAAGCAAUUUUAUCGGGGGGGUGGGGAGUGGGAAAGCAGUACAAUACAAAUGUUUGUUCACAGGUUUAGCCUGGGAUACAUUUCAUGACAGUUUUGCAAGGCUGAUUGAUGGUGUGUAUAUGUAUUAAUGAUCAUGCUACAAAUGGCAUUUCAUUCUCAGCUGCUAUUCAAGGCAACUGAAAUUCUAACUUCGUAGUAUACUAGGCCCUUUGGGCCCCAGCCCACUCAGAAACACUGCAAAGAGUCUUCAGUAUCCGUGAGAGAGCAGGCGCUGUAGUUCACCUCCUAGCCUGGUCUGUUCUUAGUCCCUGCAAGCCAGCAGUAUCAGGAGAGCUGCUAUACCUCUGGACUGGUUUUUGUGCUUCUCAGCCUGCAGACAGUACCGGGUUUACAAUGGCGCCAGUGGUGCCAUGGAGCCGGUCCCAUGCUCAGAAGGGGCCUCGGCCUGCUCCACUUGCACUGCACCCUGAGACCCUGCCAGGCCACUGGCUUCCCCCCGACCCAUCACUUGCUCCUGUCGACCUGCCUGUCAAGGACUGCUCUCUGCUCCCUGGCCAGACCCCAGUGCACCUCCAGCUCCAGGCAGUCUCUGCUUCCCACCACCUGUGGGUCCCCACCUGUCUCCUCGGAGCUGAGCCACCUGAGACUGGUGCAGAAGCCUGGCCAGUCUCAGGCAUCCGGGAUGUGGGGGACAGUGUGGCAGGCUUGGCUAGGCCCCUCCAGGCAAGUAGGUCCUGAGGGAGCCUGGCUGGGGCAGUCCCUGGCCUGGAUGAUCGCGCCAUUCCUGAGGGGCCGGAGCAAUUCCCCAUCCCGGGACCAGCCGUGGCUGUGCUGCCGGCUCAGCCCAGCAGACACAGUUGCUUCCCAGCAGGGCUGGUGAAUGUGGCC